UACGAAGGUCCCAAGCGUUAUCCGGAAUUAUUGGGCGUAAAGGGCUCGUAGGCGGUUUGUCGCGUCGGGAGUGAAAACCCAGGGCUUAACCCUGGGCUGGCUUCCGAUACGGGCAGACUAGAGGUAUGCAGGGGAGAACGGAAUUCCUGGUGUAGCGGUGAAAUGCGCAGAUAUCAGGAGGAACACCGGUGGCGAAGGCGGUUCUCUGGGCAUUACCUGACGCUGAGGAGCGAAAGUGUGGGGAGCGAACAGG
This 253-nucleotide ribosomal RNA is filed under the name uncultured bacterium. RNAcentral's name for it is "partial 16S ribosomal RNA". It matches the Rfam family "Bacterial small subunit ribosomal RNA", at positions 524 to 776 of the family's 1533-position model. The record is from RNAcentral.